Molecule: small nuclear RNA, 114 nt
Organism: Dunckerocampus dactyliophorus (ringed pipefish)
Lineage: Eukaryota; Metazoa; Chordata; Actinopteri; Syngnathiformes; Syngnathidae
Product: U5 spliceosomal RNA
Exons: 1
Source: RefSeq, a predicted model, not a curated record
GCGCUCGUGUUUCUCUUCAGUUCGUACAAAUCUUUCGCCUUUUACUAAAGAUUUCCGUGGGGAGGAACAACAUGAGUAUUCAUCCAAUUUUUGCUGCUCUGCUUUUAGCAGAGU